GGAAACCAGCUUAUUAAAGGGAACCAUGGAAACAGGAAACAUUUUCAAAAGGAAAUGGAUCUUUUGGUGCAGUGGAGGCAUGAUAUCUAGUUUUUGUGAGGGCAGCAUCCAUCUACAUCAACUCUGUGCCCUGAAGAGAAUGGAAAGAAGAGGAAAAAAAAGCAGUGGGAGACAAGUUUAUGUGAAGGGGCAGUGUAUUAUAAAACUACCUACAUCAAACAUAAGAACCAUCGUUUGGAAGAUAGGAGGAGUUCACAUUCACUAUUUCCAUAGACUAUCAUUGCAGCCUUCUUAAGCACACAAGACAGCUCUUGCUGUCAUGUAUAUUUUCUCCUGGCCAACUGACACACAAUGAUGGUGAGAAGAAUCCUGUGGCUAGCAUUUUUGUGGCACCAAGGGACAGAAGUAAACUUGAUUAAUAUAAGACAUAUUUAAAAUGUCUGCACUCCUAGUUUUAUAAUAAAAUAAAAUUCUGAAUUAACA
RNAcentral lists this long non-coding RNA (483 nucleotides) under Phascolarctos cinereus (koala). RNAcentral's name for it is "lncRNA (ENSPCIG00000029153.2)". The record is from RNAcentral. Lineage: Eukaryota; Metazoa; Chordata; Mammalia; Diprotodontia; Phascolarctidae.